GACGAACGCUGGCGGCGUGCUUAACACAUGCAAGUCGAACGGUAAGGCCUUUCGGGGUCAUACGAGUGGCGAACGGGUGAGUAACACGUGAGCAACCUGCCCUUGACUUCGGAAUACCAGCUGGAAACAGCUGCUAAUACCGGAUAUGACCUCGGCCCUCAUGGGUUGGGGUGGAAAGCUCCGGCGGUCAGGGAUGGGCUCGCGGCCUAUCAGCUUGUUGGUGAGGUAAUGGCUCACCAAGGCUUCGACGGGUAGCCGGCCUGAGAGGGCGACCGGCCACACUGGGACUGAGAUACGGCCCAGACUCCUACGGGUGGCAG
Molecule: ribosomal RNA, 320 nt
Filed under: uncultured Actinomycetes bacterium
Lineage: Bacteria; Bacillati; Actinomycetota; Actinomycetes
Description: bacterial SSU rRNA
Rfam family: Bacterial small subunit ribosomal RNA
Source: RNAcentral